RNAcentral lists this ribosomal RNA (741 nucleotides) under Rhodococcus opacus. RNAcentral describes it as "bacterial LSU rRNA". It matches the Rfam family "Bacterial large subunit ribosomal RNA", at positions 1436 to 2154 of the family's 2925-position model. The record is from RNAcentral. Lineage: Bacteria; Bacillati; Actinomycetota; Actinomycetes; Mycobacteriales; Nocardiaceae.
GCAUGGGACCUGAUCUGGUAGUAGCCAAGCGAUGGGGUGACGCAGGAAGGUAGCUGAGCCAGUCAGUGGUAAUACUGGUGUAAGCCUGUAGGGCGAAUGGUAGGCAAAUCCGCCAUUCAUCAAGCCUGAGAGGUGACGCAUAGCCGAAUGAGGCGAAUUCAGUGAUCCUAUGCUGCCGAGAAAAGCCUCUAGCGAGCUUUCACACGGCCCGUACCCCAAACCGACACAGGUGGUCAGGUAGAGAAUACUAAGGCGAUCGAGAUAACUAUGGUUAAGGAACUCGGCAAAAUGCCCCCGUAACUUCGGGAGAAGGGGGGCCUCGUCCGGUGAUCACUCUUGCAGUGUGAGCUGGGUGGGGCCGCAGAGACCAGUGAGAAGCGACUGUUUACUAAAAACACAGGUCCGUGCGAAGUCGUAAGACGAUGUAUACGGACUGACGCCUGCCCGGUGCUGGAAGGUUAAGAGGACCGGUUAGCCACUUCGGUGGCGAAGCUGAGAAUUUAAGCCCCAGUAAACGGCGGUGGUAACUAUAACCAUCCUAAGGUAGCGAAAUUCCUUGUCGGGUAAGUUCCGACCUGCACGAAUGGCGUAACGACUUCUCAGCUGUCUCAACCAUAGACUCGGCGAAAUUGCAUUACGAGUAAAGAUGCUCGUUACGCGCGGCAGGACGAAAAGACCCCGGGACCUUCACUACAGCUUGGUAUUGGUGUUCGGUUCGGUUUGUGUAGGAUAGGUGGGAGA